This 467-nucleotide ribosomal RNA is filed under the name uncultured bacterium. RNAcentral describes it as "bacterial SSU rRNA". It matches the Rfam family "Bacterial small subunit ribosomal RNA", at positions 32 to 510 of the family's 1533-position model. The record is from RNAcentral.
AAUCAACGCUGGCGGCGUGCCUCAGACAUGCAAGUCGAACGAUUAAAGCUCUCUUCGGAGAGUGUAUAGAGUGGCGCACGGGUGAGUAACACGUAAGUAAUCUACCUUCGAGUGGGGAAUAACGUCCGGAACGGACGCUAAUACCGCAUAAUGCAGCGGCAUCGCAAGAUGACAGUUGUUAAAGAUUUAUCGCUUGAAGAGGAGCUUGCGGCAGAUUAGCUAGUUGGUAAGGUAACGGCUUACCAAGGCUACGAUCUGUAUCCGGUCUAAGAGGACGGUCGGACACACUGACACUGAAUAACGGGUCAGACUCCUACGGGAGGCAGCAGUCGGGAAUUUUGGGCAAUGGGCGAAAGCCUGACCCAGCAACGCCGCGUGAAGGAUGAAGUAUUUCGGUAUGUAAACUUCGAAAGAAUAGGAAGAAUUAAUGACGGUACUAUUUAUAAGGUCCGGCUAACUACGUGCCA